AUAAGCGCUAUGAAGAGGAAUAGUAAAUGCAAAGAUGCUUUACAGAGAGAAGGACCCACUGGAUGAGAGGUUUUUCAAGCUUAUUUAUAUUGAACCCGCCCUCAGAGCAUGCAAACAAAAUUUGCCGCAUACCUGCGAUAUGGGUUUUGAGAGAAUGUAAUAAUCAAAGAAGUAAAGCCAAAAAGCGAGCUUUGCGUUGGUUAAUAUUACAUUAACUAGGGUGGUAACACGGAAUAAUGUCUUCGUCCCUUUA
Molecule: non-coding RNA, 253 nt
Filed under: Clostridiales bacterium
Lineage: Bacteria; Bacillati; Bacillota; Clostridia; Eubacteriales
Description: T-box sequence
Rfam family: T-box leader
About the family: Uncharged tRNA acts as the effector for transcription antitermination of genes in the T-box leader family. T-boxes are found upstream of many aminoacyl-tRNA synthetase genes and some amino acid biosynthetic genes usually in Gram-positive bacteria.
Source: RNAcentral